This 179-nucleotide unclassified non-coding RNA is filed under the name uncultured Mortierellales. RNAcentral's name for it is "sequence contains ITS1". Lineage: Eukaryota; Fungi; Mortierellomycota; Mortierellomycetes; Mortierellales. The record is from RNAcentral.
UAAUAAAAGUGUUUUAUGGCACUUUUUAAACAAUCCAUAUCCACCUUGUGUGCAAUGUUUUUUUGAAGUCGGAAGAGGUUUUUUCCCCUUCCUGCCUUCUCUUUAACUAUUCAACUCUUAUUUUUAAUUGCCAUUUGUCUGAAAAAAAAUUAUUAUUAUGAAUAACUUAAUUCAAAAUA